Molecule: long non-coding RNA, 290 nt
Filed under: Elaeis guineensis (African oil palm)
Lineage: Eukaryota; Viridiplantae; Streptophyta; Magnoliopsida; Arecales; Arecaceae
Description: long non-coding RNA (EGUI_LNC053833)
Source: RNAcentral
GCAUGGAAAUCUCAUGGUGAAAGGAGUGGUGCAUGGAGAAUAAAUAGGUACAUGGGGUUAGGAAGUUAGUUAACUAAGUUUGGUUGAGUCCUAGUCCAAAUAGGACUCUUGAUUCUUGGUUAAACUCUAAUUAAUUCUUGAACCCAAUCCUAAUUAACUUAAGAAUUAGUUAGAACAAAAUAACUAAUUAGAUCCAGUCCAAUUAGGAAAUCAAUUAGGCCCUAAUCCAAUUAGAAAAUUAGUUAGAUAAAAACUCCAUCAAUCUAGGGAUUGAUUUCUUGGAUAUAAGA